Lagopus muta (rock ptarmigan) is the source of this 1057-nucleotide long non-coding RNA. RefSeq lists it as uncharacterized. The record is from RefSeq and is a predicted model, not a curated record. The transcript is spliced from 3 exons. NCBI's taxonomy places the organism in Eukaryota, Metazoa, Chordata, Aves, Galliformes, Phasianidae.
UUGAUUCACAGGCGCCGCUUUAAAUCUGAUUUUAAAUCUGACUUAAUUUGUUCGUUUUCGGUCUCAUUUAAAUCUGAUUUAAUUUCUUUCCUUCCUUACCGGCCACCCGAACCCGGGGGCGAAUCGGCUGUGAGUCAACGGCGGCUCGCAGCGCGUUGCCUAGCAACGGCGGUGGGGUAGGCCGCAGGCGAAGCGGCCUGCGGGGCGUUUGGGAGCCGCGGGCCGGCGGUGAAGUGGUCUCGGGCUUCUGUCAGCCGCCUUUACCUGCACAGUCGCCACAGAGAGCCGCAGGGAUCUCCAGACGGCUUCCCUGUGCUCUGCCCCUGUUUUGGGUGGGGAAUCCUUCCUCCGGAGCGCCACACGAAGCUCUGUUGUUUGAGGAGAAGUGUCAUCUGUUCCACAGAAUCACAGAAUGGCCAGGCUUGGAAGAGACCUCAAGGAUCACGAAGCUCCAACCCCCUGCCACAUGCAGGGCCACCAACCUCCACAUUUCAUAGCAGCUCAGGCUGCCCAGGGCCCCAUCCAACCUGGCCUUGAACACCUCCAGGGAUGGACGGGGCAUCACAGCCUCUCUGGGCAGCUGUUCCAGCACCUCACCACUCUCAUAGCAAAGAACUUCCCCUGACAUCCAACCUCAAUCUUCCCUCCCUCAACUUCAAACCAUUUCCCCUUGUUCUAUCACUAUCAACUCUUUCCAAGAGUUGAUUCCCCUCCUGUUUGCAGGCUCCCUUUAGGUACUGAAAGGCUGCCAUGAGGUCACCCCACAGCCUUCUUUUCUCCAUGCUGAACAAGCCCAGCUCCCUCAUCCUGUCCUCGUAGGGGAGGUGCUCCAGUCCCCUGCUCAUCUCUGUGGCUCCUCUGCACCCUCUCCAACAGCUCCCUGUCUUUCUUGUGCUGGGGGCUCCAGACCUGGACACAGCACUGCAGAUGGGGCCUCACAGGAGCAGAGCAGAGGGGGACAAUCACCUCCCUGUCCCUGCUGGCCACCCCUCUGCUGAUGGAGCACAGGAUGCCAUUUGCUUUCCAUGCUGAAACACACCUGCCAACAGAAAUGCAU